GAUGCUAAUACCGGAUAACAACAGAUGAUGCCUAUCAACUGUUUAAAAGAUGGUUCUGCUAUCACUCUUGGAUGGACCUGCGGUGCAUUAGCUAGUUGGUAGGGUAACGGCCUACCAAGGCGAUGAUGCACAGCCGAGUUGAGAGACUGAUCGGCCACAUUGGGACUGAGACACGGCCCAAACUCCUACGGGAGGCAGCAGGC
RNAcentral lists this ribosomal RNA (203 nucleotides) under uncultured Lactobacillus sp. RNAcentral describes it as "partial 16S ribosomal RNA". It matches the Rfam family "Bacterial small subunit ribosomal RNA", at positions 159 to 354 of the family's 1533-position model. The record is from RNAcentral. Lineage: Bacteria; Bacillati; Bacillota; Bacilli; Lactobacillales; Lactobacillaceae.